RNAcentral lists this ribosomal RNA (500 nucleotides) under uncultured bacterium. RNAcentral's name for it is "partial 16S ribosomal RNA". It matches the Rfam family "Bacterial small subunit ribosomal RNA", at positions 30 to 523 of the family's 1533-position model. The record is from RNAcentral.
AUUGGACGCUGGCGGCAUGCCUUACACAUGCAAGUCGAACGGCAGCACGGGAGCAAUCCUGGUGGCGAGUGGCGAACGGGUGAGUAAUGUAUCGGAACGUGCCCAGUCGUGGGGGAUCACGUAGCGAAAGCUACGCUAAUACCGCAUACGAUCUAUGGAUGAAAGCGGGGGAUCGCAAGACCUCGCGCGAUUGGAGCGGCCGAUAUCAGAUUAGGUAGUUGGUGGGGUAAAGGCUCACCAAGCCGACGAUCUGUAGCUGGUCUGAGAGGACGACCAGCCACACUGGGACUGAGACACGGCCCAGGCUCCUACGGGAGGCAGCAGUGGGGAAUUUUGGACAAUGGGCGCAAGCCUGAUCCAGCAAUGCCGCGUGCAGGAUGAAGGCCUUCGGGCUGUAAACUGCUUUUGUACGGAACGAAACGGCGAGCUCUAAUACAGUUUGCUAAUGACGGUACCGUAAGAAUAAGCACCGGCUAACUACGUGCCAGCCGCCGCGGUAA